RNAcentral lists this ribosomal RNA (253 nucleotides) under uncultured bacterium. RNAcentral's name for it is "partial 16S ribosomal RNA". It matches the Rfam family "Bacterial small subunit ribosomal RNA", at positions 524 to 776 of the family's 1533-position model. The record is from RNAcentral.
UACAGAGGGUGCGAGCGUUAAUCGGAAUUACUGGGCGUAAAGCGCGCGUAGGCGGCUUUGCAAGUCGGGUGUGAAAUCCCCAGGCUUAACCUGGGAACUGCAUUCGAGACUGCAUUGCUAGAGUAUGGGAGAGGGAAGUGGAAUUUCCGGUGUAGCGGUGAAAUGCGUAGAUAUCGGAAGGAACAUCAGUGGCGAAAGCGACCUCCUGGACCAAUACUGACGCUCAUGUGCGAAAGCGUGGGGAGCAAACAGG